Molecule: small nucleolar RNA, 86 nt
Filed under: Castor canadensis (American beaver)
Lineage: Eukaryota; Metazoa; Chordata; Mammalia; Rodentia; Castoridae
Description: Small nucleolar RNA SNORA51 (ENSCCNG00000027330.1)
Rfam family: Small nucleolar RNA SNORA51
About the family: ACA51 is a member of the H/ACA class of snoRNA that guide the sites of modification of uridines to pseudouridines.
Source: Rfam by way of RNAcentral
GGUUUCAAGAGGCAAAGUAAACCUACUCCAUACACACCUCAGCCCAGGUCCUUUGUCUGGUCUAUGUUGUGAGUGGGGAGACCUGG